CUGGCUGGGCCACGCCCCCUAGCUAGCCUCUGAGGGAAGAUCUCCGCUGCCUCUCCAGCUCUCCUGGGUGGGCCGCGUCCCCUCGCUAGGCUCUGAGGGAAGAUCCUCGCUGCCUCUCCAGCUCUCCUGGCUGGGCCGCGCCCCCUCGCCAGGCUCUGAGGGAAGAUCCUCGCUGCCUCUCCAGCUCUCCUGGCUGGGCCGCGCCCCCUCGCCAGGCUCUAACGCAAGAUCCUCGCUGCCUCUCCAGCUUUCCUGGUGCCCGCCGUGCUUGGCUUGCGGCUGGUUCACUCCGAUUUCUGCCUCCCUCUGACGAGGCCCUCUGCGAUUCCAGUGGACCCCCCAGGACAGUCAGCUCCCAUCUUCAGGCCCUUCGCUGGCCCACCUGCAGGGUCCGUGGAAGGGACAUUCACAGGCUCCGCCGACUGCAACAUGGGUAUCUGUAGGAGGCCAUUAUUUAGUCUACAAUAGGGCCACUAACUACUCUCUAGUUUACAUUCAAAAUUUUUCUUACUUACAUGUUUUUUUUUUCUGUGACUGCUGCAUGGGGACAUGAAAGUCAUGAAUAAAUAAAAAGCUCAUUCCUCC
This 585-nucleotide long non-coding RNA is filed under the name Pan troglodytes (chimpanzee). RNAcentral describes it as "lincRNA". Lineage: Eukaryota; Metazoa; Chordata; Mammalia; Primates; Hominidae. The record is from RNAcentral.